This is a long non-coding RNA of Austrofundulus limnaeus, 803 nucleotides long. RefSeq lists it as uncharacterized. The transcript has 3 exons. Lineage: Eukaryota; Metazoa; Chordata; Actinopteri; Cyprinodontiformes; Rivulidae. The record is from RefSeq and is a predicted model, not a curated record.
ACCGUCACAGCUGAGACGUCCUGCAGCAGCUGGAUGAGAGUCUGCCACGAGUCGGGCAGAACGCAGGAGAGAACUGAGAACACAGAGAGCUCUCUCCUCAUCUCCUCCUGCUGGAUCCAAGACUCUCCCAGACCUGAGAGGGUACAGACUCCCUCCACACUCAAGUCUAAAGUUCCACUCUGUGGGGUUCAAUAAAUCCAGGCCCUGAUCGGCAGUAAGAAACAACUUGGAGAAAUCCGGUUACCUCCUUUCCGAGCCUCCUGGAAACAAACGAAUGGAUCGACUCGUCGUCCUCUUUUCCCUUCUUGACCAGAAUCUCAGGAGCCAAGCUGAACAGGAGGGGGCGGGAAAAAGGCGGGACUGUUCGAAAAAUCCCACUAAUAACAAAAACGUAAAGACAGGUAAUUCAUGUCGACGUCAGGAAUAAUUUCUGUUUUAAACAAAGUGGGAUGAUUCAUUUUUUAAUAAAAAUCAUUUUUGAUACACAUAAACUUGUUUCUAUCAGUCAAGAAUAAUAGUUUUAGAAAUGAUGUUUUUUGAAAACUUUGUCAGUUUAUUAAUUAUUCCUGUCCUGGUUCUAUAAACGUGCUCAAAUAGGACAGAUCUCAGGGAGCAGACUCUACAAACUGGUUUUAGUUUAGUUCUCCUGUUUGUACUUCAAGCUGUUUUCAUCAUCCAGGUGUUAACAUGUUCUGGACUUUACAGAUGUGGUGCUGAGAGCUGGUGUGGUAGUAGCUGAGAGUCAGUCGCCAUCUUUAAUGCAAGGACUUUUAAAAUAAAUCUCUAUUUCUUUCUUUCUUCAA